RNAcentral lists this ribosomal RNA (253 nucleotides) under uncultured bacterium. Its description in RNAcentral is "partial 16S ribosomal RNA". It matches the Rfam family "Bacterial small subunit ribosomal RNA", at positions 524 to 776 of the family's 1533-position model. The record is from RNAcentral.
GACAGAGGGGGCGAGCGUUGUCCGGAGUCACUGGGCGUAAAGCGCGCGCAGGCGGUGACCUAAGUGUCGUGUGAAAGCCCCCGGCUCAACCGGGGGAGGCCAUGGCAAACUGGGUCGCUCGAGCUGCGGAGAGGCCCCUCGAAUUGCAGGUGUAGCGGUGAAAUGCGUAGAGAUCGGCAGGAAGACCAAGGGGGAAGCCAGGGGGCUGGCCGCAGGCUGACGCUGAGGCGAGACAGCGUGGGGAGCAAACCGG